This 1348-nucleotide long non-coding RNA is filed under the name Homo sapiens (human). RNAcentral's name for it is "HSALNT0216626". The record is from RNAcentral. Lineage: Eukaryota; Metazoa; Chordata; Mammalia; Primates; Hominidae.
CAGCCUUCCGCCCAAGGACAAAUGGGGUCAGGGCAGCAGCUGUACCUGGCGAGAAUGCACUCCCUUCCUGGGGGGCCACUUUUUUCCAGGAGUGCAUGGCCCUGGGCUGGCUGCUGAGACCUGUGCCCAGCCCCUCCGUGGUGGUACUCUCGUCAGACACCAGCCUCUGCGGCACCCAGGGUGGAGGUCCUGCUAUCUCCUCUCUGCAGAUGAGGAGUUCUCUCAUCCGAACCUCACGGCUCAAGGAACAGAAAGCUGGACCAACGGUGGUCAAAUACAGUGGGCGCUUAACUACCUCAUGGGAGUGAAUGGAAAGGAGUUCCCAAGGACCCCGGGUUCUAGCCCCAGGGCCCUGUGGAUGGAUCUCACGUGGAAAGGGGGCUUUGCCUCUCAAGGAUCUGGCGAUGCGGAGAGCAGCCUGGGUUAUCCUGCAGCCACGAGAAUCUAAUACAUUCAUGAAAGGAGCCUGGAGGUGGGUGGCACCGGCGUUGAGAAGGAGGUAAUGACAUCACCCAGGGCCCUGGCUCCUUUCCCUCAGUCAUCCUUGAAUGUUGGCUACUUGUUCUCUGGCUCCUGACCUCACAGUCACAAGACGGCUGCCACUGCUCCAGGCGUCCCAUCCUCACACGACAGCCUCUGAAGCAGAGAGUGAGAAAGGGCAUGGAGUGGCAUCACGGUUCAAAGCUGGCAGCCCCUGGUCCCCAGACUGCACCGGGCCAGUUCCAGCUUCUGGGGCCUGAGAGGCACGGGCCUCGGGUUCCCUGUGAGAAUUGUUCCUGGUGAUAGACCUGUGGGCUCUCUGGGGGCUGAGCGAGAGCCGUCCUAACGGGGAGAUGGCCCAUCCAGGGCCAACACGGCACCUGUGCGUUCUCCCAUCCUCCUUCCCAAGGGAGUCCUGGCCAGGCCCCUCUCCUGUGUCCGAGGAGUCUUGCCAGCCCUCAUGGUCUGUGUCACGAUCUGCAGUAGCUGUCCCAUCAGGGCUGAUCUGGAAGGAGCCUUUCCUCCACAUGGCUUUUCCCAAGUCAGCCCUCAAGUGCUGUGAGCCUGGACCGCGCCCCUGUCCUCCAGGCAGCUGCCUGCACUCCACACCCAUGCGCGUGGCAGCUCUGCGCCCAGCAGCCCUCCUGGUGUGAUUUUUAUUUAUUUACCUGAAUACUGGAACAGCUGCUUUAUUGAGAUUCAUUGGUCGCAAGGCUUAAUUAAAAUAAUGCCACGCGUCUCACUCAGCGUGGGUCACCAAAGCAAAUGUUUGUUUUGCUGCUGUCAGUUAGGGCCACGUGUGAUGAAGCGGCGGCUCCCGGCAGGGAAGGCACGUGGGCCCUGACCCCCUGCACCUCCCUGGGUUGCA